GCGACUCACUUGAGCAUCUUCUUGGCCAACAUACGGGUUUCCUUGACAACUGUUCCCAUAGAACCAGUGUUCAAAGAUAGGCACAGACAAAGCAACCAGAGAGAUUAAUCAAUGAUCAUGCUCCAGUAUCUAAAAUGGCAUUGAGAUUUGUUGAUAUUGUAGUACCUACUUCCAAAUUUUGAUGAGUGUGUUUCAAACUCACUUUUCUCCUUUGACUACUUUUUUUUUUUUAGUGGAAUUCCCCUUUUUUCUUUCUCUUUCCCAAAUAAGAAAGUCCCUUUAAGGAAGGAUAACAACCACAGUUAAACUGCUACUUUGGAAAGUCUACCCUAAAAAAUAAUUAUUUCUCAUUUAAAAACCAAUAAUUCCACCAAAAGGACAGCAAGUGAGUCACACAGAGGGGAUCCCCAAAAGAGGGGUAGUUUUCCGAGAUUUAAUCACAGCUUUGUGGAAACCUCUACAUGUGGUAUGGUGUGUACCUCCAGAGUUCUAGUGUACUGCAAGAUACCCAGAAAUUAAUUUAUAACUCAAGCUGUCUCCAAGUUCACUCAGACCCAGAGAAGACUCAGUUCCACCGAGCCAGCCUCUCUCCCAUUUGCUUGCAGAACAGAGACAUCUCAGCAAACAAUUCCCAGUGUGGAAAGAAAACUGUGUGCAAACAGCGGACAAUUUGAAAAAGGGUGGGGACAAAGAGCUUACAGAAGGGCAGUAGGGAUGAACAACACAAAGAAACCCAACGUGGCAGAAUAAAAGAAUCCUUUGAGGUAUUAAAAUAGUUCCACUAAGCCAGUUCUGGCCACCCAUAUGAGAGAAAUCAGAAAUGCAAUUACUUCAACCCUGAGGAGUAAAUACAGAAAACAAGGAGCCCCAGGGAAAGUAUUCCAGAAUACAGACGUAAAUUAAUAGAAGGACCCUAAGGAAUUGCCUUUCUCUUUUCUUGUUUUCUUGCUGGUGUUUUAGAUGCCCUUCCCCAAAUGUGCAAUUAUCUCAGCAGAACGAAGAAAGAAGUGAAACUGCAGUGUGCACGCACUAUUGUGGAUAAAGGUAGACAAAUUGAGGGCUGGAGGGCAGUUGCAAGGUGCAAGCUUUGUCAGGCUCCUGUGUGGCCUCCUUGGUACCUCUGUGGCCUCUAGUGGGGAAAAUUCAACAGGUCUUUCAAACACUGAGACUAAAAUCAGCACUUACAAAUGGUUUCAUCUUAGCUGCAACAAACAACUCAAUUGUUCCUCAGUCUCAGCAACAAAGCAACAAUAGCAAAUCCACCAGAAGAUGCACUCUUUCUGUUCCUAGGAACCACUGGCGUGUCUGGUGUGGCAGCCACUCCAGCUUUGUGAGUGAGUUGACCUUGUCACUCAUCUAAUAUGGUUUGGGAGAUCCAAGAUGUGUGUACGUGCAAUGACUACAGUCAGCCUGGCUGUGUAGCCAUCCCAUGUGUUCUCGUCCCAGCGGAAGCAUGGCCUCCUCUGAAUAGAAACAGAUUACAACUCACAACCUUGGCCUUCUAAGAGGGACUGUCAACUCCAAGCCAUGUCUUGUAAUUCUGUCACUUCAAGAAAUUACUGAUUCCCUUGAAAGAGAAAUAAUUAGAAUACACUUUUAUUUUUACACCAUUUUGUUAACUUUGUGCUUUGAUUUGUGUGCUCUUGUUGAUUGCUUUUGUUCAUUGUAAAACUUAAGCCCAAAGCAUAAGUGUACACAGAAGAGAGUGAGUCUUCAUUUCCCUUGGUCAGGAAUUCAGUCAACAAACAUUUCCAGAUGAUUCCUUUGUGAUGGAAGCUACAGAGACAGUUUUAGGCAAGCUAGAUACUUGCCCUAAAGCAUCAUGAAGACUGAUGAGACAUCAGAGCCUGGACUGUUAUGAAUAGUGGAGCAGGAUCUAACCACCGCGUUCCCGAGGUGGGGGCGAGGGUCAAAAGAAACCUCACUAAGGAAGUGGGAUUUUAUUUGAGCUUCUUUGGCAAAGGCAGUGGGGAAGGGAGGGCUUUUGAAGAGGAACAGCAAGUGCAGGAAAGGCCCAUGAAGUGUCAGAAAGGAUGAAAUGUACCAGAAGCACAAUGAAAGCCCACAGAACUGGGAAGGUGGGCAGGGUCUCGGCGUCUGUGAGGACAUCUGGACUUGAGCCUCAGGGGAAUGGAAGGGGAUGAGGUUUCUAAGUCAGGCUUUGUUGAUUUGUGCACUGUGUCAGUCUGUCUCUGCAGGCUUUUGAUUUUCUGACCGUGACUUUGCCUAAUGGUUGACCAGUCAUACACGAGCAAUUCCACCCUCAUUUCCUAGGAAUGUAGGGGAGCCCUUUAAACUUCCUUUACUCUUUAUCACAUUUAUUUGUAGGAUAUAAUGUAGAUUUUAAAUAAACACCUAAAAAAUUAAUGAAAAAGUUACACCUCAUAUUUAUAUGGACUUUCCCAUAUUCUCCUACUGGGGCAGGGCAGGGCAGAACGGUACAGGAUCUUUAGGGGUAUGGAGUUUGAAGGCUGGGUUCAAAUCCCUGCACUGGAUCUUUUGGGCAAGUUCUUGAUUUUUCUGUGCCUUUGUUUCUUCAUUUGUAAAAUGGGGGAUAACAGGACCUCAUAGGCAGGUUUACCGCUUCAUGGAUCAUCCCAAGUGGGCAUUUUGGAGCUGUAGGAGGUUCCUAGCACAGGUCAACAUAGGCAGCAC
This 2655-nucleotide long non-coding RNA is filed under the name Marmota monax (woodchuck). Lineage: Eukaryota; Metazoa; Chordata; Mammalia; Rodentia; Sciuridae. The record is from RNAcentral.